GCCUAAUACAUGCAAGUCGAGCGAGCGGAACCAACAGAUUUACUUCGGUAAUGACGUUGGGAAAGCGAGCGGCGGAUGGGUGAGUAACACGUGGGGAACCUGCCCCUAAGUCUGGGAUACCAUUUGGAAACAGGUGCUAAUACCGGAUAAUAAAGCAGAUCGCAUGAUCAGCUUUUGAAAGGCGGCGUAAGCUGUCGCUAAGGGAUGGCCCCGCGGUGCAUUAGCUAGUUGGUAAGGUAACGGCUUACCAAGGCGACGAUGCAUAGCCGAGUUGAGAGACUGAUCGGCCACAUUGGGACUGAGACACGGCCCAAACUCCUACGGGAGGCAGCAGUAGGGAAUCUUCCACAAUGGACGCAAGUCUGAUGGAGCAACGCCGCGUGAGUGAAGAAGGUUUUCGGAUCGUAAAGCUCUGUUGUUGGUGAAGAAGGAUAGAGGUAGUAACUGGCCUUUAUUUGACGGUAAUCAACCAGAAAGUCACGGCUAACUACGUGCCAGCAGCCGCGGUAAUACGUAGGUGGCAAGCGUUGUCCGGAUUUAUUGGGCGUAAAGCGAGCGCAGGCGGAAAAAUAAGUCUAAUGUGAAAGC
RNAcentral lists this ribosomal RNA (588 nucleotides) under uncultured Bacilli bacterium. RNAcentral describes it as "bacterial SSU rRNA". It matches the Rfam family "Bacterial small subunit ribosomal RNA", at positions 46 to 601 of the family's 1533-position model. Lineage: Bacteria; Bacillati; Bacillota; Bacilli. The record is from RNAcentral.